Molecule: long non-coding RNA, 245 nt
Filed under: Phoenix dactylifera (date palm)
Lineage: Eukaryota; Viridiplantae; Streptophyta; Magnoliopsida; Arecales; Arecaceae
Description: long non-coding RNA (PDAC_LNC020557)
Source: RNAcentral
GUUAGUUCAUUAAUGGUUGGACCUAACCAGGAUUUUCAGUGGAGGCCUCCGCCUACUGAUUACCACUUGGGGCAAAAUUGAUUGCUAGAAAUUGUUUAGAGAAAUAAUUGGUAAUGUACCUACCCUUAGAUGCACAUGGGUUGGUCGAGCCUUCCUCGGGCCCGUAUGCAGUUUAUGCGGAUUCUAGUACCCACUAGGGAAUUAAAGUAAUUCCUCGAAUUAAAGGUAGAGGCUAUUAAUUCGAU